RNAcentral lists this ribosomal RNA (396 nucleotides) under uncultured bacterium. Its description in RNAcentral is "bacterial SSU rRNA". It matches the Rfam family "Bacterial small subunit ribosomal RNA", at positions 355 to 769 of the family's 1533-position model. The record is from RNAcentral.
UAGGGAAUCUUGGACAAUGGGGGAAACCCUGAUCCAGCCAUGCCGCGUGAGUGAAGAAGGCCUUAGGGUCGUAAAACUCUUUCGCCAGGGAAGAUAAUGACGGUACCUGGUAAAGAAACCCCGGCUAACUCUGUGCCAGCAGCCGCGGUAAUACGGAGGGGGUUAGCGUUGUUCGGAAUUACUGGGCGUAAAGCGCACGUAGGCGGGCUGAAAAGUUGGGGUGAAAUCCCGGGGCUCAACCCCGGAACUGCCUUCAAAACUGACAGCCUAGAGUUCGAGAGAGGUGAGUGGAAUUCCGAGUGUAGAGGUGAAAUUCGUAGAUAUUCGGAGGAACACCAGUGGCGAAGGCGGCUCACUGGCUCGAUACUGACGCUGAGGUGCGAAAGUGUGGGGAGC